RNAcentral lists this ribosomal RNA (433 nucleotides) under uncultured bacterium. RNAcentral's name for it is "partial 16S ribosomal RNA". It matches the Rfam family "Bacterial small subunit ribosomal RNA", at positions 29 to 507 of the family's 1533-position model. The record is from RNAcentral.
AACGAACGCUGGCGGCAUGCCUAACACAUGCAAGUCGAACGAGACCUUCGGGUCUAGUGGCGCAUGGGUGCGUAACGCGUGGGAAUCUACCCUCAGGUUCGGAAUAACUCAGAGAAAUUUGAGCUAAUACCGGAUGAUGACGUAAGUCCAAAGAUUUAUCGCCUGAGGAUGAGCCCGCGUAGGAUUAGGUAGUUGGUAAGGUAAAGGCUCACCAAGCCGACGAUCCUUAGCUGGUUUGAGAGGAUGAUCAGCCACACUGGGACUGAGACACGGCCCAGACUCCUACGGGAGGCAGGAGUGGGGAAUAUUGGACAAUGGGCGAAAGACUGAACCAGCAAUGCCGCGUGAGUGAUGAAGGCCUUAGGGUUGUAAAGCUCUUUUACCCGGGAUGAUAAUGACAGUACCGGGAGAAUAAGCUACGGCUAACUACGUG